This 980-nucleotide long non-coding RNA is filed under the name Gigantopelta aegis. RNAcentral describes it as "uncharacterized LOC121380531, transcript variant X1". The record is from RNAcentral. Lineage: Eukaryota; Metazoa; Mollusca; Gastropoda; Neomphalida; Peltospiridae.
CGCAAAACCACAUUGUCGUAACAUUUGGAGAAUUGAUUUAAUUAUUGAAUGCUCAACUACGAGUACCUUCCUGAAAACUUUGUCCGGAAAGAUGUCACAGUUGGUGAAAAUCGUCACAUUAUAUGUGCUACGGAUGAUCAGCUGGACAUCCUUUCUAAAUCAGUAGUCUGGUAUCUUGAUGGAACUUUCAAAAUUGUUCGGAGACCAUUUGUACAGAUGUUUUCCAUACAUGCUUUUUUGAGAUGUGGAGAAAAUAUAAAGCAGGUCUCUCUUGUCUUUGCUCUCAUGUCAUCGAGGAAAACGAAAGACUAUAAACAGCCAGCCAGCAGUGAAGGAGUUCGUAAUCGACUUAGAGUGAUGCAUGUGGCAGUCAAGUCGGGCCCUCUUUCCGCAGUCGCAGAUUAAAGGGUGUGUAUUCCAUUGGGGCCAAGCCAUCUGAAGACACGUGCAGUCAAUCGGCUUGCAGGUACAAUACAGAGAGCAUGAUACCUGCUACACAUUUAUCACGAAAUUGAUGUCACUAUGUUUUCUGUCCGCGGAGUAUAUAUCCAUCCAACGUUUGACAACUUGAAAGACCAGAUCAACGAAGAUUCUCCCAAACUGGCAGAAUUGGUCCACUACAUGGACAAAACAUGGAUAUCAAACGCAUUCUGGACAUGUGAGUGUUCAUGCGCCCGACACUUACAAACAAUGACAUUGAGGGUUGGCAUAACAGAAUCAACAGUAGUGGUAACUUGGGUGUUUACCUGUUGAUCCCGCUUCUCAACAAAGAGGCUGAAUCACUACCCCUGCAGAACAGUCUUGUGUCAGAGGGCAAACUCAAGAAACUGCAGAGGAAGGGUGCCACAAGAAAGGUGCUCUUCGAAACUUGGGCAUUUUAUAGUAACGGGAAAAUCAGCGUCGGCCGCCUGUUAAAAAUCUGUUUCAGAUUGGUGCAUGUCGCUGAUGGCUGAAACCGCAACGCUGGUGAUUUCAAACGU